GUUUCUUUUAAAAGAAUAUAUGAUAAAAUACCGUAUUUUCCAAAAAUGAAAAUCUUGUUUUAAUUAUCCAGUUGCUUAACUUCUUUUCUUGUCCGGUUAAAAUUGGGGCAUUUCCUACUUGGCUACUUUCUUCUUUCAACUAACUGAUCGCUCAUCUCCCACUAAAUCGAACGGCUACGAUUUGUCAACUUAGAUGGCAUGUAUAUCGUUGACCCGCAACACGCCGGAGUCCGCUUCCGGUGAUGAGAGGUUCCCGGCAGUGGCAGCGGAGGAGGAGGAUCGGUGUAGCUCUUGUCGUCGUCAUCCACGUCUUCGAUCAGGAAGAACAGUGAUGAGUCAGACGGCGAGGGGAAGAGGUACGGAGUAAAUAUAAAUGUGGGCGCAUAAGAUGGGUUCGAUGCUUUGGAAAAGUUUUUGCCUAUAAGGUACAUAUUCUCCUUUCAUUUGAUUUGAAUCCAUUUUUAAUAAUUGUUCGGUACUAAUUUGAAGAGAUUAUAUUUGCUUUUUAAUUUGACAUUUUUUUUUCAUUUAAAUGUGUUUUAGGGGUUUCAUUUGUUUCCUGUAUGUUGAUUUUGUUUAAUUGCAUGAAGAGUAUCUUUGUACGAAAAAUAAUGAACUUGUGCACGGCGAAGUUAAAUAACAGCUGCAUAUAAAAGCGAAGAUAAUGGAUUUUUUUCUUUAUCUUGUCCAUAUGUCCAAGUCAUCAGACGUUUGUAAUCAACAUAGCUCUAAGCUACUGUAGUUGAACCAUGGUUUGAGAUUGCAAGAUAAGAGCUUGUCCAAGAUCAUUUCAAUAGCAAAACAAGUUGAAACUUCAAUAUUUUGAUGUUUGUAGAGUUCAAUCAAUCCUUUCUAACUGCACAAUAUCUAAUUUUCAUUGGUUUGCAUCAAUUACAAUAAGUAAUUUCUAAUUUCUGAUGGUUAACGUACGAAUUCCUUUUGCAUUUAUGUUUAUGUUGUUUAUCCAAUAAUUUCUAUUGGCUUAUUUCAGGAAUGGCAUAUCUAAGUUCUAGUGUGAAAAUCCAAAACUUUUACCAGCCUUUCUGAUGCCUUGUCUUGCUCGUCCAUUAAAGAUAUUGGUAAGCCUGAUGAUGCAUACACCAGGAAGCGAAAAAAAUUGCUUGCCUUCAAUAACUUUUGGGACAAGAAUUGUGAUAUUACUUGAAGAAGUAACAAUGGCGGGAUAUCAAAAAGUCCUGCGAACUCUAGAGGUGCAUUAACUCAGGCAGAAACCACAAGCCAUUCUGAGAGCAAUAACAGUGAAAUUUCUAUCUCAAAGUCGUCAUCACCUAGUGGAUAUCAUGUCNUAUCCCUUUAAUUGACAAUUUUCAUG
Molecule: long non-coding RNA, 1333 nt
Filed under: Olea europaea subsp. europaea
Lineage: Eukaryota; Viridiplantae; Streptophyta; Magnoliopsida; Lamiales; Oleaceae
Source: RNAcentral